This 2605-nucleotide long non-coding RNA is filed under the name Nicotiana tabacum (common tobacco). Its description in RNAcentral is "long non-coding RNA (NTAB_LNC015001)". The record is from RNAcentral. Lineage: Eukaryota; Viridiplantae; Streptophyta; Magnoliopsida; Solanales; Solanaceae.
AGAUCUUAUACAUAUUGUAAAGUUACGCAGAAGUCAAGAGAGUUAUUCUUGAGACGGAAAUUACUUUGAGAAAGUAAUAGUACAAUACAAAGCCAAGAUAGAAAAUACUAGUAUAAGAAAAUUAUUUCUUGUUUUUCUACCUUUGAGUUGAGAUGACAAACAUUUCAACACAAUAUUUUUAUUCAAUUUGUUCGCAGGGUUUCAUUGACCAAAGAGUUGAUAGAAAGGAUCAGUCUCGGUGUGGAUACGCAUAGAGUCUUCGCACUAUCGAAGAAAUUCUAAAACGAGACUCUCUUCACCAGGUACGUGUUAGAUCCGAUCUUUGACAUAUAAAUAAAUUAUAAAUAUGAAAAGUUCUUCCGAGGAUUAUUAUUGUCUUCCGCUGCGUGUUAUGAAUACUUCCCUCAAUUCAACAGUGGUAUCAAAUCCAUGGUUUCUCGUGUCUAAAAUUUAUUUACGAAAUAUUUUAAGAUUUUAUUUGAAGAGAUUAAAUCAUUAUCCUUGUGUCUUGUGUAAUAGUCAAAUUGUUUGAAUGCAUAUGGAUGAUAUUAUUUUAUUAUGAAUAAAAUAUGUAUUCAGAUAAGUUAAACUACUGAGAUAGUUCGUAACUUGAAUUUGAAAUUUCGUAUAAGAUACGACGGCAAUCUAUAAUAGGUUAUUAGAUUAUACAGUUAUUUUAAUUGUUAUUAGUUUAUGAGAUAUUAAUUAAUAAUAAUGUUCUGGCAUGAAUUAUUUUAUGUGAUAUAUAAGAUAAACAUGUUAGAAGUAUGUUGAAUUUUGUUUUUAUGUCACAUGCUUGUUAGUUAUAUAAUUUUGAAUUAUUAUUACAUGUGAUUUAAAUUAAUUUAGGACAAAGCAUGUAGACAACUUGAACAAAACUCACCACCAUUUAUCUUUCUCAGAACCACUCACCGGAGGUUUGACCUCCUCCACAAUAUGAUGCACAAUAUCCUCUGGUAAAUAGUCCUUUAAUUUGUUCAAGUUCCACUCGUUUUCCUCGGCAAAUUCAUGAACAUAUUGUACAUCUUCGCUGCCCCAAAAAUCUGAUGGUGUGACAUCAUAUAGAGGCCCCAAACUUGUCCAAUUAUCAUGCCAAAAAUUAGAAGAUCCUUCCUUUACUUGCCACCAAAUUUGGUGGUCUAUAAGCUCUCUACAUUGUAACAUUUUACGCCACACAUGCGACCCAUAUUUCUAUUGCACCAUCGUCGGGCCAUGUUUCUCGCAGUAUUUAACCAUCAUAAAUUCUUUCCAGAGUGAGUUUUUUGUGUCCUUUACUCUAAAGUUCCACAAUUAUCAUGCCAAAAAUUAGAAGAUCCUUCCUUUACUUGCCACCAAAUUUGGUGGUCUAUAAGCUCUCUACAUUGUAACAUUUUACGCCACACAUGCGACCCAUAUUUCUAUUGCACCAUCGUCGGGCCAUGUUUCUCGCAGUAUUUAACCAUCAUAAAUUCUUUCCAGAGUGAGUUUUUUGUGUCCUUUACUCUAAAGUUCCACCACAAUUUACAAAAUAAGGCCUUGGACACAUCAAACAUAGACCGAUAUCCCACACCUCCUUCCUUUUUGUGUAAACAUAAGUUUAUCUAGGCUGCCAAAUAUCUACUUUUUCUGUCUAUGAAAUUGUAGAGAAAUAACACGGAAAAAUAACAGUAAUACUACAAUAAUAUUAUUUAUAAGCAGAUAUACGAAUUGACUUAAGUCGUACUGGACACUGUCCUAAGAAACUAUUUCAGCAGUGUGAAAUAUUUUCUCAGGAUUAAACAAGCUUACCUCUGCUUAAGAGGAUACAAGAAUCAGCAAAAUAUUAAAUUAUAAACCCAGCUAUUUAAAAGAUGGGAACAAAAAAAAUAGACUACUAAAUUUUGAGAAGGAAAGACAACAAAGGAAAGCUAGUGUAGAACGAAAAAGCAAAAGAAAGUUGUUGUUGGUUGAUGCCUAUUUAUAGGCUUUAAGAGAGGUUUGAAACAUGAACACGUGUCUUGAAUUUUCUAUACAAUUGCCAUACUCAUUUCUCCAUUGCCACUUUGUAUACGGUUGAAACUGAUUUCGGCCUUCGUACGACUGAUCGAGAUGGGAUCAUAAUGGACUGAAGAAAGUCUUCAUAAUAUCGAGAUGGGAUACGAAGAUGGCACAAACGAGCUUCAAAUUUCAGGUACAAGUCAAUUACCGAGUUUGAAGUCAUUAUCGAGCUCGGGUCCGAAUCGAACUAAGAUGAGAUAUGAUGGAAUCAAGCUUAAGGGCCAGAGGCCAACCGAUACCAAGCCCAAAUCAUUACCGGACCCCGAGUCGGCAUCGACCUCAAACCCGCAUUGAGCUCUAAAACUGGAAACCGACCAAUACCGACUAAUGCUGAGUCUGAUCAAGAUCGAGCUCAUAGACAAGAGCCGUUGCAGCCGCACUAAGGGAGAGAAUCUCGGCGGGAAUUAGGAAAAAGUUGAUUUAUCGUGGGUUCUCCACUAUGUAUUUUUAAUUAUAUCUAAAGUAGGAUCCCCCACUAUAAAAGGGAUGACUAUAUUUCUGUAAAAGGAUCAAAUUUUGCAUACAUUGUAACUCAGAUAUCAUACACUCCCAUACUAAAGAAUUGUCCUUUUUUAGCUUCAUAGAUUGA